Long non-coding RNA from Dalotia coriaria, 532 nucleotides. RefSeq lists it as uncharacterized. The transcript has 2 exons. The record is from RefSeq and is a predicted model, not a curated record. Lineage: Eukaryota; Metazoa; Arthropoda; Insecta; Coleoptera; Staphylinidae.
CGUGCGCGUAGUUUCGACGAGUUCGAGCAGGUAAACGAAGUAGAAAGAAACACCCAACAGCUAGAGUGUUCUUUGUUUAACUAGUUUAUAACUGCGCAGAGCUACGUCAUCGUAACCGCCUCGCUCACACAUUACAGGUGGAAGUGGUGCCGUAAACAAGCUUUCUUGCAAGCGUUCCAAGCCGCACGGCGCUGUAGUUCGUGCUAAAAGCAUCGCAACACUUCGCAAAAAGGCAGCAUUGAUGUAAACUCAAUGCCAUCUGCCCAUUGCCAUGUCUGUGCUUGAUAUCAACGAACGACGAGCAUACCUGCAGAGCCCUUACUUCAAAAAGCACGAAUACGGUGAUUUCAGCCCGUUUUACAUCACUGUCACCGUCUGCACAAUCAUCGCAGCAAUUAUAAUCAUCAUUAAUAUUGUUGGGUGUUGUUCAAAAUACUCCACUUACUGGAACGACCGCCAUACUGGUAACAGGUGGAUAGUUUCGCUUUGGACAGCAACACCACAUCUUCAGCCAUCUUUGGAUUACUCUGAA